This 336-nucleotide ribosomal RNA is filed under the name Triticum aestivum (bread wheat). RNAcentral describes it as "partial small subunit ribosomal RNA". Lineage: Eukaryota; Viridiplantae; Streptophyta; Magnoliopsida; Poales; Poaceae. The record is from RNAcentral.
AUGCGCCAAAACGCACGCGCGCAUGCGCAUGCAUGGUGGCGAUCACAACCUUCCGAUGAUCGUCUCUUCCCAGCACGCGCACGGCACGGCAGCGAUCAGUCCGUCACGACAUCCUGGGAUUUAGGCAAAUCUGCGCUGCAAUCAGUAGGUGUUGCCCGAACCAAAAACUCUUUGCUGGAACGGGUCGGCAGCGUGACGGGGACCUGGCUAGGAGCAACAGAAGAGGCGGGCCCGGGCGUUUUGGGCUCUUGCGAGCGCGAGCAGGAGCAAGCAAUUAGUCUGCUGUUACAGGUUGGUGGCUGGGGAAAGCUACGUGAGGUAUCGUCAAGUGAGUGA